This 253-nucleotide ribosomal RNA is filed under the name uncultured bacterium. RNAcentral describes it as "partial 16S ribosomal RNA". It matches the Rfam family "Bacterial small subunit ribosomal RNA", at positions 524 to 776 of the family's 1533-position model. The record is from RNAcentral.
UACGAAGGGUGCAAACGUUGCUCGGAAUUAUUGGGCGUAAAGCGCACGUAGGCGGCUUGGCGAGUCGGAUGUGAAAUCCCUCGGCUCAACCAAGGAAGUGCAUCCGAAACUGCUGAGCUUGAGUUCUUAAGAGGAUCGCGGAAUUCCCGGUGUAGAGGUGAAAUGCGUAGAUAUCUGGAGGAACACCGGUGGCGAAGGCGGCAUCCUGGACCAACACUGACGCUGAGGAGCGAAAGCCAGGGGAGCAAACGGG